Oncorhynchus keta (chum salmon) is the source of this 5558-nucleotide long non-coding RNA. RefSeq lists it as uncharacterized. The record is from RefSeq and is a predicted model, not a curated record. NCBI's taxonomy places the organism in Eukaryota, Metazoa, Chordata, Actinopteri, Salmoniformes, Salmonidae. The transcript is spliced from 7 exons.
UUGGCUAGCUAGUUAGCGGUGGUGCGCGCUAGUGGCGUUUCAAUCGGUGACGUCACUUGCUCUGAGACCUUGAAGUAGUGGUUCCCCUUGCUCUGCAAGGGCCGCGGCUUUUGUGGAGCGAUGGUAACGAUGUUUCGAGGGUGACUGUUGACGUGUGCAGAGCGUCCCUGGUUCGCGCCCAGGUAGGGGCGAGGGGACGAACGUAAAGUCUAUACUGGAACAUUUGCCACGGUGCGGCUGUUUCGAUUGAGUUCAGCAGUGCACUUUCAAAGCAGAAGCAAGUUGAGUCACCAAGAGGUAGAACAGACAUUGUAAACAAAAGGGAGAGAACAGUGCACUUUCAAAGCAGAAGGCAAGUUGAGUCACCAAGAGGUAGAACAGACAUUGUAAACAAAAGGGAGAGAACAGUGCACUUUCAAAGCAGAAGGCAAGUUGAGUCACCAAGAGGUAGAACAGACAUUGUAAACAAAAGGGAGAGAACAGUGCACUUUCAAAGCAGAAGGCAAGUUGAGUCACCAAGAGGUAGAACAGACAUUGUAAACAAAAGGGAGAGAACAGUGCACUUUCAAAGCAGAAGGCAAGUUGAGUCACCAAGAGGUAGAACAGACAUUGUAAACAAAAGGGAGAGAACAGUGCACUUUCAAAGCAGAAGGCAAGUUGAGUCACCAAGAGGUAGAACAGACAUUGUAAACAAAAGGGAGAGAACAGUGCACUUUCAAAGCAGAAGGCAAGUUGAGUCACCAAGAGGUAGAACAGACAUUGUAAACAAAAGGGAGAGAACAGUGCACUUUCAAAGCAGAAGGCAAGUUGAGUCACCAAGAGGUAGAACAGACAUUGUAAACAAAAGGGAGAGAACAGUGCACUUUCAAAGCAGAAGGCAAGUUGAGUCACCAAGAGGUAGAACAGACAUUGUAAACAAAAAGGGGAGAACAGUGCACUUUCAAAGCAGAAGGCAAGUUGAGUCACCAAGAGGUAGAACAGACAUUGUAAACAAAAGGAGAGAACAGCCUUGUAGUAAAAUUACAAAUAGUCAUUCAUCAAGAUUAAAAUGACAUAACAUGUUAAAUCCAGUAGCAGGAGGCUAUUUUUAUACACAUAAAUAAUCCAUAUCUUACCCUGCCUUGGUUAGCAUUUGGACCUCAUACUUUCACUUUCAAAAUGACAAAAUCGUUGAUUUGCCGACUGAUUGUCAUUUUGAAAGUGAAAGUAGGAGGUUCAAAUGCUAACCAAGCCAGGGUAAGAUAACUCCUGUCAUUUUGAAAGCCUAUGUUCUAUCAAUUGGUAAAAUCAAACAUUUCCUCCCAAGUAACUUGUUAGUAGUCUGCCUGUGAAAAUCAGGAAAUCGUGUAAGAACGCUUCAGAGCUAUAUCAUUAUUGGCUGGAGAUAUGGGAUUACACACUGUCACAUUUCAUAACGCAUUCAAAACAAUGACCGACACUCCAGACCGCCAAAUGCAGCCAAUAGAUGUCCUUCCUUGUCUGGAACACAUCCAUCCGUUUAUAUCGUUAUGACAAAGUAUAGCUUUCGCUUAGAUGUGCUCAAUCUAAACAGUGUACUAAGUUAAUUAAUAACCUCCGUUUCUUCUUCAAGUACCAUGUAGCAAUGCGCUGAGUCUGUGGGAUAACCGAACACGCUUCAAGCUAAAAUGAUUUAAACACCAAAAGGUGUAAUAUAUUAUCUCCUGGAACACAUCCAAGUCCUGUGAAUACAUCUUCUUUGUUCAAGCUUGAAUAUUCUUGGUAGUAAACCCAUUUGCUGACAAGCUGAUGUUCCAAGUAUUGCAGGCGCAUCUUGUUCCAUCACUUGACAUUCCAGGUCAAACACUUUCUCUUUGUAUUUGCAGUUGAGUGUUUUCUUGCCUUUUUGCUCUAUCUGGUGGCCAGAAUAGGGGACUAGUUUGCGGUUGGAUUUUUGCAUGGAAUUAAAUACUUGGAUGGCUCACAACUUCCUCCAGCUAAAUCAAGACAAGACCAAGGUACUUAUUUUUGGAGCCAAAGCAAAGAUAGAGAAUCUGGCUGCACAUUUUAUUAGCCCCACUCACUUUCAGAGUUUUCAAGUCUCACCGGGACAAGACUUUACAUUCAGUUCCUGUAUCCAGUUUAAAAGUACGUGUGGUUGUUAAUUUUCAGUGUUUCUGAGUAAUCUGCCGCGCACUUGGUCAUUUGUGAUUUCACACACAAUUCUGUCCCGUAUCAGUGACUCGGUAAAUUGUUGAAACUCAAAGUCAUUUUUUAGAUCAGUCCCAUUAGCAUCAAUUGACUUUGUUUGUCCUUGCACUCUCGUAAAAAAGAUAUCGGACUUAACGUUACCUGAUGCAUUUUUUUUCUUGGCUCAUAUUACGUUCGGAAAGGGUAUUUAAUACAUCCAAGUCAUCUACAUCAUCGUCAAAAUCAAUAGUAUUGAAUACCUUGAUUCCAUCAUCUCCGGCUACGUGCAGGAACGAGGCACAUUUCCCCUUUUCGGAUUUCUCGGAAAUGCCACCGGCGAUGAUAUAUAGUAAAGGUUGAAUUUCUGGAUCCACACUAGAUUUCCCUCUAGGUUCAGAGUAGUUGGUGGUCUCAUUUGUUCCAUGUUUCGGAAUGUUGAGCUUUCCUUGUAUAACUUUUAAACUGCUGAAACCAUAUAAUAUAUUAGCACACUGAUGCAGGGAUGCGGGUGGCAGAACAACGUUUAUCAGAUGUCAUGGGGGUCAAGGUCAAGUGCAGACGAUCGCAUGUAGUAAUUAGUAAUAGCGCCACCCACACGCACUCCAGGUAAGUACAUGAACAUACAUGUCGAAAGGUUAUCAAAAGGGAUGUUUAUUCCGAGUGGAUAUUGGCCCCAUUGUGAAUCCAUAUUAAAUGUAUGUUUUCUUAAAAGAACAUUAAGCCUGCAAUUUAAUUUGAUGAAUUAGUUUCUGUAAUCCCCACUGUUUUCAUGUAAUUGUAACUCUACUUUUAUUGCAUAAAAACCCCCCAAAUACAAACAAUAAUGCUGCAAUGAAGCAGUGAGGCAUAAGGACUGUUCUUUGCAUGAUGCAGAGCAUGUUCAUUCAUUCUGAUUGUGUCCCUCAAACGCCAUUGUUUAGAUUUACAUAAAAUAACAUAAAAAUAUAGGACAAAACACACAUCACAACAAGAAAGACACUACAUUAAAUCAAAUGUAUUUAUAUAGACCUUCUUACAUCAGCUGAUAUAUCAAAGGGCUGUACAGAAGCCCAGCCUAAAACCCCAAACAGCAAGCAAUGCAGGUGGCUAGGAAAAACUCCCUAGAAAGGCCAAAACCUAGGAAGAAACCUAGAGAGGAACCAGGCUAUGAGGGUGGCCAGUCCUCUUCUGGCUGUGCCGGGAGGAGAUUACAACAGAGAUGAUAUACAUAGAGACAUAAGACAACAUAGCAUGGCAGCAACACAUGAAAACACAGCAUGGCAGCAACACAUGAAAACACAACAUGGCAGCAACACAUGGAAACACAACAUGGCAGCAGCACAACAUGGUAGCUGCACAAAACACGGUACAAACAUUAUUGGGCACAGACAACAGCACAAAGGGCAAGAAGGUAGAGACAACAAUACAUCACGCUAAGCAGCCACAACUCAACCUUUCUUGUGGGAACCUCACUUUGAAUCCAGUUUAUUAACUGUGACUUACAUUUUUAAUUUCACAUUCAAAUCACUCUGAGUUAAUAGUUUGUUUUACUGUCCAAAAUGACAAGGAAUCCAGUCAACAGUCAGAGAGGGAAGGUCCAUCUGCCUUCAAUUGAGGACAGUCAGAAGUGUCCAUGUGCCAGAGCAACAGCAGAGCAUCCCAACGUCAUCCCUAAAUCGUCCCCCUCCCUCCAGUUUAAGAUGACGUCCUUAUCAUGUUGCCUGCUUUUUGAAUGGAUGCUACUUCAAAUGUAACCCUUGCAAUUGCCAUUAAUAAAAGCAUAUGCCCAUAGGUAAUACCACGUCAAAACAAAACAUUGAAAUAAACAUUUGUUUAGUGUUCGAGAGGUAAAACAAACAGCCUGUGAAAGAAAAGAAAACGUAAUGAAUAAAGUGAAAGUUAAUUAAUGUUUCUUGCGUCUAACUGAAGCCUGCAGGUGAACGGCUCCACAAAAGGAAAUGGCAGGUUGAGCCUGCUUGGACCCAGGAGCAGCUAGAGAGGGUCACCAGAACAAGUCUAACUUCACCAGUACCACCAUGGCUGAGGACAGAUGAGGAAAUCACUCACUUGUCAAAGUUUGAAGAGGAGUGUUUGAAGAAAAACCAAGAGAUCUCUGUGCUUCAGGAGGAGCUGACAGAACUGACCAUGUCUCAUAAUGAGGAUGUGGUCAGAGGUCAGCUACAGUCUCUUAUGACCGAAAAUAACUUCUGGACAUCAGGACUGCGAUUACUCACCACGGACUGUCAGAAUACUUUUUUUCCUUUAACAAGUCUGAUGAGCCCAAGGUGAAUGAUAUACUGCUCUCCCGGGAACGGGCCCAGAUCCUCAUGAUUUGCGUGAAGAGAAGGUGGAGAAAAAGGGUCCAAAGGGCGGGCUGCUUUCUGAGAAUUCGUAGGCGAUCGAAUAAACCCCUACUUCCUUCCAUUCUGCUAGCAAACGUGCAAUCUUUGGAAAAUAAAAUCGAUGAUCUACGCAGAAGAUUAAACUACCAACGGGACAUUGAAAACUGUAUCUUAUGCUUCACGGAGUCGUGGCUGAAUGACGACACUAUCAACAUACUGAUUAUACGCUGUACUGGCAGGAUAGAACAGCAGCGUCUGGUAAGACAAGGGGCGGUGAACUAUGUAUUUUUGUAAAUAACAGCUGGUGCUCGAUAUCUAAGGAAGUCUCGAGCUAUUGCUCGCCUGAGGUAGAGUAUCUCAUGAUAAGCUGGAGACCACACAAUCUACUUAGAGAGUUUUCAUCUGUACUUUUCGUAGAUGUAUACAUACCACCACAGACUGAUGCUGGCACUAAGACCGCAUUGAAUGAUCUGUAUUCCGCCAUAAGCAAAAAAGAAAACGCUCACCCAGAGGCCGCGCUCCUAGUAGCCGGGGACUUUAAUGUAGGGAAACUUAAACCAACUUUUUACCAAUGUUAGAUUCUGGGUUAAACAUGAUACAUCAGAGACAUGAUACAUCAUAAGUAAUACUAUAGUAUCUGAGGAGUAAUAUAUUCAUUUAUUCACGAUUCAUUCAGGAUUAACCGUAAUCAUGGAAGAAUCCACAUUAUAAGGGAAAAGAUAUCCUUUAGGAAGUAAAUCUAAACAAAGAGAUGUACUCAAACCACUUAUAUUAAACAUGUUCAUUUAACUUAAAAAACAUCUCUAUAUUUAGUAUUUUGAUCGGCGACAAGGUUUAUUUGAGCUAUUGCCAUAGUAACAACUGACGCCAAAUUGUCUGUGGUAAUUGAUUUUUCGCGCGGAGAGUGAAUGGAAGAGAAUGAGGUUAGGUGCAGACAAUGAAGAUGGCAACAACAAUUCAAACAUGAACUGUAUGGCGUUCUAAAUCCUAGUGCUUCCGUUCCUCUUUAAUAUAAAAGUGUUUAGAAACAUUUAGAUUGUUAAAUACAAUGAAAGUGACAUCAAAAUGACACAAUACAUUAUUUACCCU